AGGGGUCGAUAUUGGGGCCGUUGCUCUUUCUUAUCUACAUAAAUGACCUGCCAUUUUAUAUAAAUAACUUAUGUGAAACGGUAUUAUUUGCAGAUGAUACAUCUCUUAUUUUUAAAAUCAGUAGGAACGCAAUAAAUUUUGACGAGGUAAAUGAUGCCCUUUCCCGAGUUAUGUGUUGGUUUACUUAUAAUAACUUGUUACUAAAUUCUAAUAAAACAAAAUGUAUUAGAUUUUCUUUGCCUAACGUAAAACAGGGAUCACUCUAGAUUCUCGUUUGCAAUGGAAGCCCCAUAUUACAAAUCUAUCGGCAAGACUUAGUUCGGCUGCUUUUGCGAUAAGAAAGAUUAGAUGGAUGUCUGAUGUCGAAACGGCGAGGCUUGUAUACUUCAGUUACUUCCAUAGUGUUAUGACAUAUGGUAUAUUGUUGUGGGGCUCAGCGGCCGAUAUUCAAGAUAUUU
This is a long non-coding RNA of Pieris napi, 458 nucleotides long. RefSeq lists it as uncharacterized. The record is from RefSeq and is a predicted model, not a curated record. Lineage: Eukaryota; Metazoa; Arthropoda; Insecta; Lepidoptera; Pieridae. The transcript has 2 exons.